This 46-nucleotide non-coding RNA is filed under the name Schistosoma mansoni. The record is from RNAcentral. Lineage: Eukaryota; Metazoa; Platyhelminthes; Trematoda; Strigeidida; Schistosomatidae.
ACCCAGAUGACAAGUCCUAAACAUGGACGAAACGCGCGUCCUGGAU